GCCUAGAUAGCUCAGUUGGAUAGACUGUGGUGCUGAUAACGCCAAGGUUGCAGGUUUGAUCCCCAUUUGAGACA
Molecule: non-coding RNA, 74 nt
Organism: Podarcis lilfordi (Lilford's wall lizard)
Lineage: Eukaryota; Metazoa; Chordata; Lepidosauria; Squamata; Lacertidae
Source: the annotation of a GenBank genome assembly